This is a long non-coding RNA of Rhipicephalus sanguineus (brown dog tick), 624 nucleotides long. RefSeq lists it as uncharacterized. The record is from RefSeq and is a predicted model, not a curated record. NCBI's taxonomy places the organism in Eukaryota, Metazoa, Arthropoda, Arachnida, Ixodida, Ixodidae. The transcript is spliced from 4 exons.
UCUAGCGGAGGCGUGCAACUCGAAGCGCGGGAAAGGGAGAAUGGCGAUGGUGCAGAUAGUGCAGAAAUGGCAAAGAGCUGGUCAUGGAGGCGCCUAAAAAACGCCGAAGUUCAAAGGUUGGCGCUAUUUUGUUAAGUGAGGGACUUCACGCAUGAGGUGGCCGCUCGCGUGGCACAUGCUCGUACCUUGUGAUGGUUUUCCGAUGGCGCUUGAAAAGCCGGGCGCAAAAGUAACUGAGUUUCUUAAAUGUUCCUGACUGUUCUUGUCGGCAUGUCAAGAUACCAACGGGUGGAUCUCCUAUCUUCAUUAUGGAAACUCCUUGUUACGAAUGUCUGAAAGCACCAGUAGUGUACGUACGCUUCUCUCAAAAGGAUUACUUCGCUGGGAGGACAAGGUUCAAUGUCUUCUGGGAGCCAAGGGCUUGGUUUAUGGGCUACAAGAGAGUUUGGACUACAGCCUAGAGCUCUUGCAUGUAAGGAAGGUUCUCUUGGUCCAUGGCUUCCAGGAUUGUUUGCCGGCAGGUUUUACUUCGCCCGUCCCAUUCGCUGCGCUCCCCAGAGAAAAAUUGUAAUGUGUCCUGUGCUCUCGGCUACCCCGAGAAAGCACUGUUAAUAAAAUGCUCUG